AUCUAUGGCCACACCACCCUGUAUGCUCCCGAUCUCAUAUGAUCUCAGAAACUAAGCAGGGUCGGCCUGGUUAGUACUUGGAUAGGAGACCGCAUGGGAAUACCGGGUGCUGUAGGCU
Molecule: ribosomal RNA, 118 nt
Filed under: Carlito syrichta (Philippine tarsier)
Lineage: Eukaryota; Metazoa; Chordata; Mammalia; Primates; Tarsiidae
Source: RNAcentral